AGCAGCGGCACUGCACGGCCCAUAUAUAUGUAUAUAUAUACAUUUUACUUACACAUACAUAAUAUUUUAUCGACUCCCAAACGGCCAGUGCGACUCUGACUUGCUGCACCGCGGGAUGUGACUUCUCCACAACCGCGAAAAUCCUGUUGAUACCAUCAAAUUUUCGCCUUAUCCUCACCCUUCACCAACAUCUUGGUCGUGUGACGACGGCCGUUUGCGCACACCGACAACCGUCCGGUCACCAUUUAUUGCUGGUUGAGUUCUUCGUCCCCUCCGGGGAGACAUUGUUGCGGGACACCGCCACUGGGUCUGCCCGGCAGGAGAGGAUUUUUCCCGACGGUCGCCAUGCAAGAGGUGGAAAGGGCCAAGGCCAAAAAAAUGGCGAAAAAAGAAAACAGUAAAAUAGAACGGCAGAAGUCAAUGGAAAACCAAAAAAAGACACUGCCUAAAGCACCAAGCACGGAAUCGAAAAAACAGGACAAAUAACAAAAAAAAUGAAGCACUUAUCAAUUUUAAAAUUGAUAUUUUUCUAUCACCGUAUAACAAGUCAAUAAUAUACCAGUACACUUUAUAUCGAAAACACAUAUUAUUUAACAUUUUAUUAUUAUAUUAUACCGGAUAUGAGACUCAUCGAUGUACAUAUCACUAUCGAUGGAUCGCCUACGUUUUUUAUCAAAAUUAUAUUAUAUAAUUUAUAAUAUGUAGUACGUAGUAUGUAGUAAUAAUAUUGUGUAGGUACCGUAAAAAAAAAUAAUAUCUGUUAUGCUAUUUGAGUAAGUUAACAGCUUAUACACUAAAUCGUAUGUAUCAUUACUAAUCUUAGUUUUAUUAUAUUAUUUAUUAUGAUUACAAUUUACACAAAUAAUAGUAUUAUUAUUAUUAAUUUAAUAACAAUGUAUGUUGUUGGUAUCACACCAAAAUUGAACGAUGAUACUUGUACGAGCGUUAUAAAUAUACUGAUUUAUCAAAUGUCAAAUCAUCCGCUUGGAAGGCAACUGCGGCGGUGUGAAAGUGAUUGGUGUGGACGGAUGAAAAACGAAUAAAAACCUAUCAAAACACGUUA
Long non-coding RNA from Adelges cooleyi (spruce gall adelgid), 1063 nucleotides. RefSeq lists it as uncharacterized. The transcript has 4 exons. Lineage: Eukaryota; Metazoa; Arthropoda; Insecta; Hemiptera; Adelgidae. The record is from RefSeq and is a predicted model, not a curated record.